Molecule: unclassified non-coding RNA, 391 nt
Filed under: soil metagenome
Description: partial contains 5.8S ribosomal RNA, internal transcribed spacer 2, and large subunit ribosomal RNA
Rfam family: 5.8S ribosomal RNA (bases 1-122)
Source: RNAcentral
GAUGAAGAACGUAGCGAAAUGCGAUACUUGGUGUGAAUUGCAGAAUCCCGUGAACCAUCGAGUCUUUGAACGCAAGUUGCGCCCGAAGCCACUAGGCCGAGGGCACGCCUGCCUGGGCGUCACACGCCGUUGCACCCCCAUCUACUCCUUCGGGAUUGCGGGGGGGCGGAUGAUGGCCUCCCGUGCGCCUAGCCGCGCGGUUGGCAUAAAUACCAAGUCCUCGGCGACGCACGCCACGACAAUCGGUGGUUGCGAAACCUCGGUUGCCCGUCGUGUGCGUUCGUCGCGCAUCGAGGGCUCGAAAAAAUGCUCGGCUCCGGCUGGGCUUUCAACGCGACCCCAGGUCAGGCGGGGUUACCCGCUGAAUUUAAGCAUAUCAAUAAGCGGAGGA